UGUUUUAUUUCAUCUCUCACACCUCACAGCCAUUCACUCCUCACUCCUCUCUCCUCUCGCGACCCUCACUGCUCUCGCCGACCCUCACUCCUCUCUCCUCUCGCCUCUCGCCUCUCGCCUCUCGCCGCCCCUCACUCUCAGGUCACCACUCCCCUUCACCCUCGUUCUCUCACCUUGACCCUCACCCUUCAUCUUCGACGGUGGUGGUGGAGACUCUCAGAUCUGUUUUUUCGAGGGAAUGUGAAUUGUUGAGGAUAAUGAAAUGAAACAAUUUUCAGGUAUGAAGGCCUUCCCCAAGGAUGACCCCAGCAAGCAACCACACCUUACUGCCUUCUUGGGCAACAAGGCUGGAAUGACCCACAUUGUGAGGAGGUCGAAAAGCCAGGGUCAAAACUUCACAAGAAGGAGACAUGUGAGGCUGUUACAAUUAUUGAUACCCCUCCCUUGGUGGUGGUUGGUGUUGUUGGCUACGUGAAGACUCCUCGUGGCUUGCGUACAUUGAACACUGUAUGGGCUCAGCACUUGAGCGAGGAGAUCAGGAGAAGAUCCUACAAGAACUGGCGCCGUCGUUCUUCGUUGAGUUCGUUCGUCGAGAUCUGUUUUAUGUACUCUGUAUUUCUAUUUUUUUAAUUUUCGUUUUUUCAAUUUUUUUCCUAAAUAGAUCUGCUUUCAUUUUUUUUAUAUAUAUUUUUGUAAUUAGGGCUUAAAUUAAUUUUCGAUAUUAAUUUUAUGUACUUCAGUAUAACUAUUUUUUUUUCCUUUUUUGUUUUUUUUUUUUUAUUUUUUUCCUUAUUAGAUUUGUUUCAUUUUUUAUAUAUAUUUUUGUAAUUAGGGUUUGUAAUAUUAUUUUUAUUGAAUAUAUGGACAUAUGGUGAUUUGAUUUA
Beta vulgaris subsp. vulgaris (sugar beet) is the source of this 884-nucleotide long non-coding RNA. RefSeq lists it as uncharacterized. The transcript has 3 exons. Lineage: Eukaryota; Viridiplantae; Streptophyta; Magnoliopsida; Caryophyllales; Amaranthaceae. The record is from RefSeq and is a predicted model, not a curated record.